GACGCGUGGUCUCAGACCUCCAGGGACACCACGCAGGGCCCAGCUGCAAAGAGGCAACAGCUCAGGAGGGCUGGAGAACGGCUCGCGCCUGAGCGCCCCAUCCAGUAAGAGGCAUGCAGGGUCCGCACUCGCUCACGUUCCUCAGCCCUCCGUCCCCCAGGCCGCUGGAGGCGCCGGAGCCAGUGCCCUGCGCCCUGCACAGCUCCCCACACAUUUCACUCUCGCCAGCCACGCUCAAGACCCAGGCCUCGAGACAACAGAACUGCACGGCACAGAGCGUGUCCAACCCUCGACUGAAAGUGCCUGGAUGAAAGAAGCUGCACCUGCGCCCACGCGCUGUAGGAUUUUAUUCAUGCCAUUCAUUAUUCCUAACCAUGUGACAGCUAUUCGCACAGCAUUUCCACUGUAGUCGAUGCUGUAAAUCAUCUGGAGAUGAUGCAAAGCACACGGGAGGACAUGUGUAGGUUAAAUGUAAAUGCUCUGCCAUUCCACGGCAGGGACUCAGCACUGUGGCUGUGGGACCCGACCCGCCAGACACUGAGGCACAACUGCGCUCCAUACAGGCGCCCAAGGAAUGAGGGAGUGAGGAGUGGGAAAGAACAGAGAAAAGCCUGUAAGAAACAAGCGUGGUCCUGCGGACUUAGCCAACGCCGCUGGCCCAUAAGGCCCUAGGACGUAAACCUGCACCUGGGGGUAAGACGAAAGCACGCGGGGUUUUCUGUGCUGAAUACAACUCUCACUGAGCCACUGACUUACCUGAGACUUCACGGAAAGCCCAUCUGCACCCAACCCCAGGCAGCCUGUGCCUCCCACAGCUGGGCCUGCCCGAGACUCCUCUGCACCUCCUGCCUUCUGCCUGCAAGCCACGCGUGGUCCUGCCUCUUCCCCAGGACACCACUCCACCCUCACCCACACACACCCACAGCGCCCAUCGAAGGUCCAAGGACUGAGCAGACUCGGCGGGGCCCGCAGGUGCUGUCCAUCAGCCAGCCACAGGUGACGCAUCCCGUGUUGGGCGAGGCCCCAGCAUCCGCACAGAUCUGCUGGGGAAGCCUGAGAUCCCACCCAAGGCCGCAGCGCACCUCUGCACACGCAAAGGUCGGCGGCUGGCAGCGCCUCAGCCCAGAAGCAGAGAAUCCGGACCUUCUGAGGUUCUGUCCUCUCUGAAACACGGAAAAGGAACCAGAGCCAGGUGGACUUCCCGAGGCCCCAGUCCUGCCCCAGCCCCUGGUCAAACCCCACGGAAAUGCAGCUGGACCUCAGGACCUGGACGGGAGGCCCCAAGUCAGGAGGGCCACAUGGCCAGUCCUGCCUUGCUCAAUUCAUCCACAACAGGGCUGGUGUCGCCUGUCUGCACAGGGUUGCCUGAGAAUCAGCAAACGUGAAAAACAAUUCUACCUGGGCACAAGGUGCUGAUUACCAGCCAACGCCCUCCUUCCCUGCCAGAGUGCUCCUCACACCCCUGCACACACUGGGGUGUGCAGGCUCAGUUUUAAAUCCCAGGCACAUGUCCUCCAGCACGCACACCACGUGUCCCAGAGAAAUGUGCUGUUCUUCCACCUCUGUGCGCUGUGGCAGCAGGACAGUGCCCCCUCGGCCCCAGGGGUUCCUACACUUGAGGCCUGGAGAACCGCUGGACACAGGGGACUGAGCUGCCUCGCAGAAGCCAGUCUGGGGUCCUGCC
Molecule: long non-coding RNA, 1684 nt
Filed under: Heterocephalus glaber (naked mole-rat)
Lineage: Eukaryota; Metazoa; Chordata; Mammalia; Rodentia; Bathyergidae
Description: lncRNA (ENSHGLG00100041553.1)
Source: RNAcentral